RNAcentral lists this ribosomal RNA (253 nucleotides) under uncultured bacterium. RNAcentral describes it as "partial 16S ribosomal RNA". It matches the Rfam family "Bacterial small subunit ribosomal RNA", at positions 524 to 776 of the family's 1533-position model. The record is from RNAcentral.
UACAGAGGUCCCAAGCGUUGUUCGGAUUCACUGGGCGUAAAGGGUGCGUAGGUGGUUGAUUAAGUUUGAUGUGAAAUCUCCGAGCUCAACUCGGAAACUGCAUUGAAUACUAUUUGACUAGAGGAUUGGAGGGGGGACUGGAAUUCUCGGUGUAGCAGUGAAAUGCGUAGAUAUCGAGAGGAACACCAGUGGCGAAGGCGAGUCCCUGGACAGUUCCUGACACUGAGGCACGAAGGCCAGGGGAGCAAACGGG